CCUACGGGAGGCAGCAGUGAGGAAUAUUGGUCAAUGGACGAGAGUCUGAACCAGCCAAGUAGCGUGAAGGAUGACUGCCCUAUGGGUUGUAAACUUCUUUUAUAUGGGAAUAAAACAGGGUAUGCAUACCCUCUUGUGUGUACCCUAUGAAUAAGGAUCGGCUAACUCCGUGCCAGCAGCCGCGGUAAUACGGAGGAUCCGAGCGUUAUCCGGAUUUAUUGGGUUUAAAGGGAGCGUAGGUGGAUUGUUAAGUCAGUUGUGAAAGUUUGAGGCUCAACCGUAAAAUUGCAGUUGAAACUGGCAGCCUUGAGUACAGUAGAGGUGGGCGGAAUUCGUGGUGUAGCGGUGAAAUGCUUAGAUAUCACGAAGAACUCCGAUUGCGAAGGCAGCUUACUGGACUGCAACUGACACUGAUGCUCGAAAGUGUGGGUAUCAAACAGGAUUAGAUACCCCAGUAGUC
This 460-nucleotide ribosomal RNA is filed under the name uncultured bacterium. Its description in RNAcentral is "partial 16S ribosomal RNA". It matches the Rfam family "Bacterial small subunit ribosomal RNA", at positions 338 to 795 of the family's 1533-position model. The record is from RNAcentral.